AAACAGGGGAAUGAGGUUCUCCCUUGGACAAACGUCCUAAACCGCUUCGAUUAUUCAAAGCUGAUGACUUCUGCGU
This 76-nucleotide non-coding RNA is filed under the name Agathobaculum butyriciproducens. Its description in RNAcentral is "Fluoride riboswitch". It matches the Rfam family "Fluoride riboswitch aptamer (crcB RNA motif)", at positions 10 to 60 of the family's 64-position model. Lineage: Bacteria; Bacillati; Bacillota; Clostridia; Eubacteriales; Butyricicoccaceae. The record is from RNAcentral.